UUGUUGCUCGAGGCUUGCCGUAGUUCGAAUCAGGGACAGGAUGAGUCCGCCCUAUUCUGCCCCCGAUUGGCUGACCGAGAUAUGUGAUAACCAAUCAUCAGCCCUCGAGGCUAAAUCUAACCAACCCAACGAAAGGCACCACGUAUACAAACCAAUCAGAGGCAGUUUAGGGCGGGUCAUUGCGUCUCUAUCCUAUGAAGAACAACCUAACUCUAUGGCGGAGAAAUCGAAAAGUAAACGUGAAACGUCUGUGUCAGCGCCUCAAUAAUGCCGUGACUGACAUGUUCAUCUGAAGCGGGAGGUCAAACGGUAGAUACGGAGUUUCAUCCGCAAGUUGCUCUCGAAGUUUCUGAAGCCAGCAGCACUGCAGCACCGGGAAUUGCAUGAAAUCCUCUAUAAGGACCCAUCAAACCAACUGCCAUAGGAGAAAAGCUGGUGAUCGGCUUCACUACUCGAGCUACACUCAACAGGCUCCUUGAUGCAGGAGACAUUACACCGCAGCAAGUGCAGAGGUUCCAGCAGGCAGCAGUGGCGUUUCUGGUGAGGGCUGUGGAGUAUGCCAUGAAGAAAUUCCACAUGAGAGCCCCUGAUAAAACAUGCCAUGUUUCUGGAUGUCCAGCAGAGGGUAGA
Molecule: long non-coding RNA, 630 nt
Organism: Gymnodraco acuticeps
Lineage: Eukaryota; Metazoa; Chordata; Actinopteri; Perciformes; Bathydraconidae
Exons: 3
Source: RefSeq, a predicted model, not a curated record